This 304-nucleotide ribosomal RNA is filed under the name uncultured bacterium. Its description in RNAcentral is "partial 16S ribosomal RNA". It matches the Rfam family "Bacterial small subunit ribosomal RNA", at positions 506 to 809 of the family's 1533-position model. The record is from RNAcentral.
CAGCAGUAGCCGCGGGAAUACGAGGGGGGCAAGCGUUGUUCGGAAUUAUUGGGCGCAAAGGGUGCGUAGGCGGUUUGAUAAGUCUUGUGUGAAAUCUAUGGGCUCAACCCAUAGUCUGCACAGGAAACUGUCGGGCUUGAGAGUGGGAGAGGUGAGUGGAAUUUCCGGUGUAGCGGUGAAAUGCGUAGAUAUCGGAAGGAACAUCUGUGGCGAAGGCGACUAUCUGGGCCAACACUGACACUGAGGCACGAAAGCGUGGGGAGCAAACAGGAUUAGAUACCCCCGUAGUCCCUGUCUCUUAUAA